Molecule: non-coding RNA, 45 nt
Filed under: Schistosoma bovis
Lineage: Eukaryota; Metazoa; Platyhelminthes; Trematoda; Strigeidida; Schistosomatidae
Also listed under: 1 other name
Source: RNAcentral
AUCCAGCUGACGAGUCCUAAAUAGGACGAAGCGCGCGUCCUGGAU